RNAcentral lists this ribosomal RNA (2592 nucleotides) under Escherichia coli. Its description in RNAcentral is "bacterial LSU rRNA". It matches the Rfam family "Bacterial large subunit ribosomal RNA". Lineage: Bacteria; Pseudomonadati; Pseudomonadota; Gammaproteobacteria; Enterobacterales; Enterobacteriaceae. The record is from RNAcentral.
AGCGUACACGGUGGAUGCCCUGGCAGUCAGAGGCGAUGAAGGACGUGCUAAUCUGCGAUAAGCGUCGGUAAGGUGAUAUGAACCGUUAUAACCGGCGAUUUCCGAAUGGGGAAACCCAGUGUGNCACACUAUCAUUAACUGAAUCCAUAGGUUAAUGAGGCGAACCGGGGGAACUGAAACAUCUAAGUACCCCGAGGAAAAGAAAUCAACCGAGAUUCCCCCAGUAGCGGCGAGCGAACGGGGAGCAGCCCAGAGCCUGAAUCAGUGUGUGUGUUAGUGGAAGCGUCUGGAAAGGCGCGCGAUACAGGGUGACAGCCCCGUACACAAAAAUGCACAUGCUGUGAGCUCGAUGAGUAGGGCGGGACACGUGGUAUCCUGUCUGAAUAUGGGGGGACCAUCCUCCAAGGCUAAAUACUCCUGACUGACCGAUAGUGAACCAGUACNGUGACUGCGUACCUUUUGUAUAAUGGGUCAGCGACUUAUAUUCUGUAGCAAGGUUAACCGAAUAGGGGAGCCGAAGGGAAACCGAGUCUUAACUGGGCGUUAAGUUGCAGGGUAUAGACCCGAAACCCGGUGAUCUAGCCAUGGGCAGGUUGAAGGUUGGGUAACACUAACUGGAGGACCGAACCGACUAAUGUUGAAAAAUUAGCGGAUGACUUGUGGCUGGGGGUGAAAGGCCAAUCAAACCGGGAGAUAGCUGGUUCUCCCCGAAAGCUAUUUAGGUAGCGCCUCGUGAAUUCAUCUCCGGGGGUAGAGCACUGUUUCGGCAAGGGGGUCAUCCCGACUUACCAACCCGAUGCAAACUGCGAAUACCGGAGAAUGUUAUCACGGGAGACACACGGCGGGUGCUAACGUCCGUCGUGAAGAGGGAAACAACCCAGACCGCCAGCUAAGGUCCCAAAGUCAUGGUUAAGUGGGAAACGAUGUGGGAAGGCCCAGACAGCCAGGAUGUUGGCUUAGAAGCAGCCAUCAUUUAAAGAAAGCGUAAUAGCUCACUGGUCGAGUCGGCCUGCGCGGAAGAUGUAACGGGGCUAAACCAUGCACCGAAGCUGCGGCAGCGACACUGUGUGUUGUUGGGUAGGGGAGCGUUCUGUAAGCCUGUGAAGGUGUNCAAGGGUUCCUGUCCAACGUUAAUCGGGGCAGGGUGAGUCGACCCCUAAGGCGAGGCCGAAAGGCGUAGUCGAUGGGAAACAGGUUAAUAUUCCUGUACUUGGUGUUACUGCGAAGGGGGGACGGAGAAGGCUAUGUUGGCCGGGCGACGGUUGUCCCGGUUUAAGCGUGUAGGCUGGUUUUCCAGGCAAAUCCGGAAAAUCAAGGCUGAGGCGUGAUGACGAGGCACUACGGUGCUGAAGCAACAAAUGCCCUGCUUCCAGGAAAAGCCUCUAAGCAUCAGGUAACAUCAAAUCGUACCCCAAACCGACACAGGUGGUCAGGUAGAGAAUACCAAGGCGCUUGAGAGAACUCGGGUGAAGGAACUAGGCAAAAUGGUGCCGUAACUUCGGGAGAAGGCACGCUGAUAUGUAGGUGAAGUCCCUCGCGGAUGGAGCUGAAAUCAGUCGAAGAUACCAGCUGGCUGCAACUGUUUAUUAAAAACACAGCACUGUGCAAACACGAAAGUGGACGUAUACGGUGUGACGCCUGCCCGGUGCCGGAAGGUUAAUUGAUGGGGUCAGCGCAAGCGAAGCUCUUGAUCGAAGCCCCGGUAAACGGCGGCCGUAACUAUAACGGUCCUAAGGUAGCGAAAUUCCUUGUCGGGUAAGUUCCGACCUGCACGAAUGGCGUAAUGAUGGCCAGGCUGUCUCCACCCGAGACUCAGUGAAAUUGAACUCGCUGUGAAGAUGCAGUGUACCCGCGGCAAGACGGAAAGACCCCGUGAACCUUUACUAUAGCUUGACACUGAACAUUGAGCCUUGAUGUGUAGGAUAGGUGGGAGGCUUUGAAGUGUGGACGCCAGUCUGCAUGGAGCCGACCUUGAAAUACCACCCUUUAAUGUUUGAUGUUCUAACGUGGACCCGUGAUCCGGGUUGCGGACAGUGUCUGGUGGGUAGUUUGACUGGGGCGGUCUCCUCCUAAAGAGUAACGGAGGAGCACGAAGGUUGGCUAAUCUUGGUCGGACAUCAGGAGGUUAGUGCAAUGGCAUAAGCCAGCUUGACUGCGAGCGUGACGGCGCGAGCAGGUGCGAAAGCAGGUCAUAGUGAUCCGGUGGUUCUGAAUGGAAGGGCCAUCGCUCAACGGAUAAAAGGUACUCCGGGGAUAACAGGCUGAUACCGCCCAAGAGUUCAUAUCGACGGCGGUGUUUGGCACCUCGAUGUCGGCUCAUCACAUCCUGGGGCUGAAGUAGGUCCCAAGGGUAUGGCUGUUCGCCAUUUAAAGUGGUACGCGAGCUGGGUUUAGAACGUCGUGAGACAGUUCGGUCCCUAUCUGCCGUGGGCGCUGGAGAACUGAGGGGGGCUGCUCCUAGUACGAGAGGACCGGAGUGGACGCAUCACUGGUGUUCGGGUUGUCAUGCCAAUGGCACUGCCCGGUAGCUAAAUGCGGAAGAGAUAAGUGCUGAAAGCAUCUAAGCACGAAACUUGCCCCGAGAUGAGUUCU